This 740-nucleotide long non-coding RNA is filed under the name Gouania willdenowi (blunt-snouted clingfish). RNAcentral's name for it is "lncRNA (ENSGWIG00000010549.1)". The record is from RNAcentral. Lineage: Eukaryota; Metazoa; Chordata; Actinopteri; Blenniiformes; Gobiesocidae.
CUGAGGAAGCAGCAGGUGUGAACCUCGUUCAGACGGCCCAGCCAGAGCUUUGGAGCAGCUACAGAUCCACAGUUUGACUCAGUGGAACAGAGAUUCUGAGUCGCAUCCUGAUGAACCCUGACCCUCCUCCAUAUGAGCCCCCAACCCCCAAAGUCCCAUCAGCCCCUGGGGUCCCUGCAGGUUUCUUCUAUGCUGCCACACCCUAUCAGACCUUCCCUCAGGGGGACCCUGGAACAGAGCAGUACUUCUACUAUCCAGGACCCCCAGGGUUACGGCCACCCAUGCCAUCUAACCAGAUCCCCAUGAGUCCACCAGGGUAUCAGGAUUCGGACCCUGGGCCUGCGGAGGAGGCCCGCCCAUCAAAACACACAGUGUACCUCAUGGAUAACCAGGAACAGGAAAAUGGCAGCGCCUCAUGUUUGGCCGUCGUCUCCACGUUGCUCUGCUGCUGCUCGCUGCUGCCACUUGUUCUCCAUCACUGUUGGUUCUUUUAAGCUCCGCCUUCAACACCGGCUCCCACCUAUCACUGUGGCCCACACUACAGAAAAAAAAAAGGGUGUGGUAAAGAGCUGCAUAACACCAAGCAUAAUGUUCUACUUUUAGAUUUUGUUGUACAUUGUUAUUUUAAUAGCCAAUAUAUUAGGAGUGAAUUGCCAGUGUUGGUGUAAAUAACACUGACGCUAGUGUAAGGUAACACUCAUUACAAAACUACAACUCUCUUAUCAUUGUUAGCCACUGGU